AUUUAAUUAUUCAAUUAUUUGAAACCGUCUUACAAGCCUCUGGCGAAAUCCUUCAACCAGUUUCAUUCCAUAUAUCUAUAUUUGUAUUUCAAUACGCCGCUCCCUACUUUCUUGCGCAGAGUCUAUGCUCUUUAUAAUUUAUGAGGAUCGCAAUAUGUAUUAUUUAUUUAAAUCGUAAUCGAUUCACGCACUCUAUACCAGUCCAAGUAUCUCGCCAGCAUACAUGGUAUAACUGUUAAACUUAUCUAAAUUACUAAUAUAUUUGUAAAAUUGCAGUCUGCCGUAUUACUUAUCCUUAAGUUAUAAUAUUUCAGUUAAGAUAUUAAUUGUGUCAUUAACUCAGAUAGGGGCUCCUAUAGCUCUUAUAUAUCUGUAAGCAAAUGUGUAAUCAUACGUAUUCCAGUUUAAUUGAUUUUAUUAAUUAAUUAAUUAUCUAGUUUAAUUAUUCGAUCAUUCAAUGCUCCACUGGCGAAAUCCUUUGACUAGUUUCAUUCCCUAUAUCUAUGAUCUAUAUUUAUAUUUCAGUAGACUACUGUAUCCGACGGGUUAUUGCUCCGCUGCGCUUUGCUCCGUUGCGAUGUAUUGAGCUUGAGAAGAAAAGUCAAUUUCUGCAUUUAUAAUUCUUUCUACUCAUACAUAUCGUGGACCGCAAAGUCGUCGUCCUCUCGUCUUCUUUAUCCUUCGUGCCACCAUACUAAUGUCCUAAACAUCCAUCAUAGGCUCGUUCUCGCAUGUCAUUUUAUUCUAUCUGCAGUAUCGCUUCCAACCAUUUCCAGUCACGGUUGUAGACUUCGCAACGGAUUAUUAUUCCAUCAUAUAUAUUUCCGGGGACGUGAGGACAGGAAGACACCCCGGCCCAUCGUUUCAAUGGCCCGUAACUGCGUCCAGGAUUCCAUCCAUCAUCUAAACAAAAUCAUCAGACAGCGUAUUUCCAUCAAGUGCCAAACAUAAUCCUAAGAUAGAGAAGAGAAAUGCCCCUUUUAUACUGAUGAGCAGUGUUUAUCCAGAUUGCGUGCCAUUGACCGUGAACAUGAAGAGAAUAGCUCAUAGCCUCUACUCUAUUAUCUCAUUUAUAUAGAUUCUAGCCCUAUAUAAACUCACCACGACCAAGCAUUCAUAAACAAAGGGUUAAACUACGUGGGAUUAUCUUAUUAUGAUCUCUAUAUACAAUUUAUUCCGUAUAUAUGCUCAUCAUGACCAAGCAUUCAUAAACAAGGAAUUCCUUAAGAGACUACGUGGGAUUAUCUAUUAUGAUCUCUAUAUAUAAUAAUGGGAAUCGAAUCGAAGUUAUACCCAAUGUUCAAAGAAACUUUAUAAUUACCUACUAUUUAACUUAUUUCCUUAUUGAUAAAUUCUGUUUCCUUAAGAUUCA
Long non-coding RNA from Camponotus floridanus (Florida carpenter ant), 1372 nucleotides. RefSeq lists it as uncharacterized. Lineage: Eukaryota; Metazoa; Arthropoda; Insecta; Hymenoptera; Formicidae. The transcript has 8 exons. The record is from RefSeq and is a predicted model, not a curated record.